CCUACGGGGGGCAGCAGUGAGGAAUAUUGGUCAAUGGCCGGAAGGCUGAACCAGCCAAGCCGCGUGAAGGACGAAGGUGCCAAGCAUUGUAAACUUCUUUUGUCAAGGGACAAAAUCAGGCUCGAGAGCCUGACCGAGGGUACUUGAAGAAAAAGCAUCGGCUAACUCCGUGCCAGCAGCCGCGGUAAUACGGAGGAUGCGAGCGUUAUCCGGAUUUAUUGGGUUUAAAGGGUGCGUAGGCGGACUGUUAAGUCAGCGGUAAAAGCCCGGGGCUCAACCCCGGCGAGCCGUUGAAACUGGCUGUCGUGAGGUGGCGAGAGGUAUGCGGAAUGCGCAGUGUAGCGGUGAAAUGCUUAGAUAUUGCGCAGAACUCCGAGUGCGAAGGCAGCAUACCGGCGGCGAUCUGACGCUGAGGCACGAAAGCGUGGGUAUCGAACAGGAUUAGAUACCCGAGUAGUC
This 459-nucleotide ribosomal RNA is filed under the name uncultured bacterium. RNAcentral describes it as "partial 16S ribosomal RNA". It matches the Rfam family "Bacterial small subunit ribosomal RNA", at positions 338 to 795 of the family's 1533-position model. The record is from RNAcentral.